ACUUGUUUUUAUUAUUCUUAUAUAUUUCCUUAAUAAAGAUAUUAGGUAGUUAUUGGCCUCCGUGUUUGGUUCUUGGUGCUCCGUAGCCUUGGGCGUGACAGGGAGCAUCGUCUAGGCAUGGCGAGGAAAGGGAAGGCGAGCUGAGGAAAGGGAGAGAGAGCCACCACCGGCCUCACAGGCUGGGCUGGGCACAAAGAGAAGGUUCUGAGGAGGGUUUUUGUUCAGUCACAUCAAGCGGCGCAGGCAGUGCAGGCCGCGGAGGGCACCAGCUUGGCUCUCGCUGUGUCUUAUCGUGGACCUGUUUUGGAUGACUGCACCCUCUUCGGACUUUGGAUUGAAUUUGACCUGGCUUCUGUCUAUGCCCUCUGACUGACGGCUACUCCCGGCUUCUGACUAUUGGUUUGUCUUUCGGAAUUUCUGCUGCCUCCUGACCUGACCUUGGAUUCUUCUGACGACGGCUAUUCAUCAUCCCUUUGAGGCUCUCGGCUUAUCUGCACCGUGGAAGCAGCUUUACUGCUUUUCUAGUUUGUUUAUUUUCCAGCAAUUAACUCUAUUUGUUUUCCAAAGCUGAAUUGAAGUGUUAUUUAGUUUUUUAUUGAAUGCCAGCAUGGGAAAUUAGCGUGGCUCGUUUUUGAGUUAUUAUUGUCCAAUCUACUCUCGAAACACUGAAAAGUGAAGUGUUUCAAGGAUAUUUCCUGUGUUUAUGUUAUUUUUUGGCUUAUCUUCGGAAUAAACUUUGUUUUGUAUGUUAACUGGCGUCUGACUCUUGACAGGUCUUUACACAAAUACCACUUCUUCAUGAAUUAUCUUGUGAAAUGGUGCUUAUGAGAAGCUGUUGUCUGAAUCCUUUCUAAUGUGAGUUGGAAAAGCAUCCGUCCAGUCCUAAAGAGCUGGAAUCAUUUCACUGAAAGCAAAUUAACUGAGGUCUCCAAAAAUCAAGACUCUUUUGAAAAUGUGUCACCAGUUCUUGUCAGUAUUUUAAACCUAUGGAUUGGUGGUACAUCAACUGGAUCCAACCUCAAAUCCAUGGUCUAUCAGGAAUGUUAAACUCAUUUUCAUCAAAGGCCACAUUAGCCUUAUGAUUGUUUUCAAAAGACUGCUUUUAAUUGAAAGACUGUUUAAAUGUAACUAUGUUGCCCUGGCAUUGAAAGCCUCAGGGACCACAUAAAAUGAUGUGGUACUCACAUUUGGCCUAUGGGCCUUACGUUUGACACAUAUGGUCUAGAUUAAAGCUCUGAGACUUGUCCAUUUGAGUGAAAUUGCAGUCAGUGUUUUCCUUCCCAAAGUUUCAGUGUUUGGAUGAUGACAGGGAACCCUGGCUGUGCUGGAAACCACCAGUGCAAGGUUUCUGAAUUGCCUUCAGGUGGAUGUUCCUGAAGGAGUAGUCCCUCUUGACUACAUCUAGCAAGUUGAGACACAAAUAUUGUGCAACACAAUAACUGGGCAGCAGCUGUGAAAAGGAGAGCAUUGGUGGUUCUCAAAGGACUGCUUUUCCUGUACUUCAUUUCUUCACAAACAGAAACAAAAAUGCAUCUUAUAGGCAGACAAGAUAGAUAAUGACUUCUUCUUAGACUAACUUUGAUUCUUA
This is a long non-coding RNA of Anolis carolinensis (green anole), 1588 nucleotides long. The record is from Ensembl. Lineage: Eukaryota; Metazoa; Chordata; Lepidosauria; Squamata; Anolidae.